AGAGGGUGCGAGUGUUAAUCGGAAUUACUGGGCGUAAAGCGUGCGUAGACGGUUAUUUAAGUCGGAUGUGAAAGCCCCGGGCUCAACCUGGGAAUUGCAUUCGAGACUGAAUAGCUAGGGUGCGGUAGAGGGAAGCGGAAUUUCCGGUGUAGCGGUGAAAUGCGUAGAUAUCGGAAGGAACAUCAGUGGCGAAAGCGGCUUCCUGGACCAGCACCGACGUUCAGGCACGAAAGCGUGGGGAGCAAACAGGAUUAGAUACCCUGGUAGUCCACGCCAUAAACGAUGAGGACUAGACGUUGGAGGGGUAAGCCUUUCAGUGUCGCAGCUAACGCGCUAAGUCCUCCGCCUGGGGAGUACGGCCGCAAGGUUA
RNAcentral lists this ribosomal RNA (370 nucleotides) under uncultured bacterium. Its description in RNAcentral is "bacterial SSU rRNA". It matches the Rfam family "Bacterial small subunit ribosomal RNA", at positions 527 to 896 of the family's 1533-position model. The record is from RNAcentral.